Non-coding RNA from Faecalibacterium cf. prausnitzii KLE1255, 351 nucleotides. NCBI's taxonomy places the organism in Bacteria, Bacillati, Bacillota, Clostridia, Eubacteriales, Oscillospiraceae. The record is from Rfam.
GGGGGCGUAAAGGUUUCGACGGGGAGAGCGAGGUCUGGGCAGCGGGUAGCAGUGGGGGAACUGCUCUAUAACUCCUCCAAAAAAAUUAACUGACAAUAACAAUUCUCAGUUGCUCGCAGCCUGAGUGCUGCGCGUUCCGCCCACUCUUGUGUCGUGUGGGGUCGGGGCGUCCUUUAGACACAGCACCUGAACGGACUUAAGCUUUGCGGACCGGCAGGAACUCAUGAAGCUACCAAUGCGCUAGCCUGACGAUCGGCGUGGCGCGGCGGGAAUGUUGUAGAUCGCCUGCACCCGGAGAUACCUACACUGAACUCUUUUCGGACAUGGGUUCGACUCCCAUCGCCUCCACCA